UGGGGUAUAGCCAAGUGGUAAGGCAGGGGACUCUGAAUCCUCUAUGCGUAGGUUCGAAUCCUACUACCCCAACCA
Molecule: transfer RNA, 75 nt
Filed under: Candidatus Altimarinota bacterium
Lineage: Bacteria; Candidatus Altimarinota
Description: Candidatus Gracilibacteria bacterium tRNA-Gln
Rfam family: tRNA
About the family: Transfer RNA (tRNA) molecules are approximately 80 nucleotides in length. Their secondary structure includes four short double-helical elements and three loops (D, anti-codon, and T loops). Further hydrogen bonds mediate the characteristic L-shaped molecular structure. tRNAs have two regions of fundamental functional importance: the anti-codon, which is responsible for specific mRNA codon recognition, and the 3' end, to which the tRNAs corresponding amino acid is attached (by aminoacyl-tRNA synthetases). tRNAs cope with the degeneracy of the genetic code in two manners: having more than one tRNA (with a specific anti-codon) for a particular amino acid; and 'wobble' base-pairing, i.e. permitting non-standard base-pairing at the 3rd anti-codon position.
Source: RNAcentral